This 482-nucleotide ribosomal RNA is filed under the name uncultured bacterium. RNAcentral's name for it is "partial 16S ribosomal RNA". It matches the Rfam family "Bacterial small subunit ribosomal RNA", at positions 30 to 507 of the family's 1533-position model. The record is from RNAcentral.
AUUGAACGCUGGCGGCAUGCUUUACACAUGCAAGUCGAACGGUAACAGGCCGCAAGGUGCUGGCGAGAGGCGCACGGGGGAGUAAUACAUCGGAACGUGCCCAGUCGUGGGGGGUAACUACUCGGAAGAGUAGCUAAUACCGCAUACGAGCUAUGGAUGAGAGCGGGGGACCGUAAGGCAUCGCGCGAUUGGAGCGGACGAUGUCAGAUUAGGUAGUUGGUGGGGUAAAGGCUCACCAAGCCAACGAUCUGUAUCUGGUCUGAGAGGAUGAGCAGCCACACUGGGACUGAGACACGGCCCAGACUCCUACGGGAGGCAGCAGUGGGGAAUUUUGGACAAUGGGCGCAAGCCUGAUCCAGCAAUGCCGCGUGCAGGAAGAAGGUCUUCGGGUUGUAAACUGCUUUUGUACGGAACGAAACGGCUCUGGUUAAUACCUGGGGCUAAUGACGGUACCGUAAGAAUAAGCACCGGCUAACUACGUG